Molecule: ribosomal RNA, 579 nt
Filed under: Bacillus sp. (in: firmicutes)
Lineage: Bacteria; Bacillati; Bacillota; Bacilli; Caryophanales; Bacillaceae
Description: bacterial SSU rRNA
Rfam family: Bacterial small subunit ribosomal RNA
Source: RNAcentral
ACACGUGGGUAACCUGCCUGUAAGACUGGGAUAACUCCGGGAAACCGGGGCUAAUACCGGAUGGUUGUUUGAACCGCAUGGUUCAAACAUAAAAGGUGGCUUCGGCUACCACUUACAGAUGGACCCGCGGCGCAUUAGCUAGUUGGUGAGGUAACGGCUCACCAAGGCAACGAUGCGUAGCCGACCUGAGAGGGUGAUCGGCCACACUGGGACUGAGACACGGCCCAGACUCCUACGGGAGGCAGCAGUAGGGAAUCUUCCGCAAUGGACGAAAGUCUGACGGAGCAACGCCGCGUGAGUGAUGAAGGUUUUCGGAUCGUAAAGCUCUGUUGUUAGGGAAGAACAAGUACCGUUCGAAUAGGGCGGUACCUUGACGGUACCUAACCAGAAAGCCACGGCUAACUACGUGCCAGCAGCCGCGGUAAUACGUAGGUGGCAAGCGUUGUCCGGAAUUAUUGGGCGUAAAGGGCUCGCAGGCGGUUUCUUAAGUCUGAUGUGAAAGCCCCCGGCUCAACCGGGGAGGGUCAUUGGAAACUGGGGAACUUGAGUGCAGAAGAGGAGAGUGGAAUUCCACGUGUA